This 440-nucleotide ribosomal RNA is filed under the name uncultured Sphingomonadales bacterium. RNAcentral describes it as "bacterial SSU rRNA". It matches the Rfam family "Bacterial small subunit ribosomal RNA", at positions 338 to 795 of the family's 1533-position model. Lineage: Bacteria; Pseudomonadati; Pseudomonadota; Alphaproteobacteria; Sphingomonadales. The record is from RNAcentral.
CCUACGGGGGGCAGCAGUGGGGAAUAUUGGACAAUGGGCGAAAGCCUGAUCCAGCAAUGCCGCGUGAGUGAUGAAGGCCUUAGGGUUGUAAAGCUCUUUUACCAGGGAUGAUAAUGACAGUACCUGGAGAAUAAGCUCCGGCUAACUCCGUGCCAGCAGCCGCGGUAAUACGGAGGGAGCUAGCGUUGUUCGGAAUUACUGGGCGUAAAGCGCGCGUAGGCGGCUAUUCAAGUCAGAGGUGAAAGCCUGGAGCUCAACUCCAGAACUGCCUUUGAAACUAGAUAGCUAGAAUCUUGGAGAGGCGAGUGGAAUUCCGAGUGUAGAGGUGAAAUUCGUAGAUAUUCGGAAGAACACCAGUGGCGAAGGCGACUCGCUGGACAAGUAUUGACGCUGAGGUGCGAAAGCGUGGGGAGCAAACAGGCUUAGAUACCCGAGUAGUC